RNAcentral lists this long non-coding RNA (674 nucleotides) under Ananas comosus (pineapple). RNAcentral's name for it is "long non-coding RNA (ACOM_LNC017805)". The record is from RNAcentral. Lineage: Eukaryota; Viridiplantae; Streptophyta; Magnoliopsida; Poales; Bromeliaceae.
AAAAGAUGCCCAAGAAUUUGAUUCCUACUCAUCUUAUUACUAAGGAUAUAACAUUUCGAUGUUUGGUUCGCACAGUCAUAUCAUCUAAGAUUACCAAAAAGAUAGAUUAAUGUGUUUGGUUCGCGUAGUCAUAUUAUCUUAGAUUACCAAUAAGAUAGAUUAAUGUGUUUGUUUCAUUAGCUAGCAAUAUUAGUAGUAAUAUAAAAUUAAAACUAACCAGUUCAAACAAAUUCGACAUAUCUAUUGCAAAUUAACUAUAAAAUUUGCAUCACAAUAUUCAAACAAGCUCAAAGAUUCUAAUAUUGAAACAGUAAUAGCAUCAUCAUCAAUAAAGACAAAAAAAUAAAAAUUUUUAAGCAACAUCAGAUAUCCAUAACAAGUCCAAACAAGAAAGCAACAUCUAUCAUAGAAAGUAAAUAACAAAUAAGUUCAACACUUCAUAGACAUUGAAAAUAUAAACAAAAUACCAAAGUUUAAUAUCCUCUAGUCAUUGCAAAAUAUAAAACAACUUCAUUUACGUGCAGUUAGAACAUACUCAAUAUAGUCCUUUCUAAACUCUGCAGGAAUUCCGUAAAAUCCAGUUAGUUUGGUUGUAUCAGAUAUUAAGAUAUCGUAAGCAAUCAUACGAUCCUUAUCGACGAGUCCCUCAACCUUCAAAAGCUCUUCAAANNNNN